GAUGAACGCUGGCGGCGUGCCUAAUACAUGCAAGUCGAGCGAACAGACGAGGAGCUUGCUCCUCUGACGUUAGCGGCGGACGGGUGAGUAACACGUGGAUAACCUACCUAUAAGACUGGGAUAACUUCGGGAAACCGGAGCUAAUACCGGAUAAUAUAUUGAACCGCAUGGUUCAAUAGUGAAAGACGGUUUUGCUGUCACUUAUAGAUGGAUCCGCGCCGCAUUAGCUAGUUGGUAAGGUAACGGCUUACCAAGGCAACGAUGCGUAGCCGACCUGAGAGGGUGAUCGGCCACACUGGAACUGAGACACGGUCCAGACUCCUACGGGAGGCAGCAGUAGGGAGUCUUCCGCAAUGGGCGAAAGCCUGACGGAGCAACGCCGCGUGAGUGAUGAAGGUCUUCGGAUCGUAAAACUCUGUUAUUAGGGAAGAACAAAUGUGUAAGUAACUAUGCACGUCUUGACGGUACCUAAUCAGAAAGCCACGGCUAACUACGUG
Molecule: ribosomal RNA, 497 nt
Filed under: uncultured bacterium
Lineage: Bacteria
Description: partial 16S ribosomal RNA
Rfam family: Bacterial small subunit ribosomal RNA
Source: RNAcentral